UACGGAGGGUGCAAGCAUUAAUCGGAUUUAUUGGGCGUAAAGGGCGCGUAGGCGGGUUGGCAAGUCAGAUGUGAAAUUCCGAGGCUCAACCUCGGAGCUGCAUUUGAAACUACCGAUCUUGAGGUAUGGCGGAGAAAACGGAAUUCCACGUGUAGCGGUGAAAUGCGUAGAUAUGUGGAGGAACACCGGUGGCGAAAGCGGUUUUCUAGCUUAAACCUGACGCUGAGGCGCGAGAGCAAGGGGAGCAAACAGG
This 253-nucleotide ribosomal RNA is filed under the name uncultured bacterium. Its description in RNAcentral is "partial 16S ribosomal RNA". It matches the Rfam family "Bacterial small subunit ribosomal RNA", at positions 524 to 776 of the family's 1533-position model. The record is from RNAcentral.